Molecule: ribosomal RNA, 432 nt
Filed under: uncultured bacterium
Lineage: Bacteria
Description: partial 16S ribosomal RNA
Rfam family: Bacterial small subunit ribosomal RNA
Source: RNAcentral
ACGAACGCUGGCGGCAGGCUUAACACAUGCCAGUCGAACGCACCUUUCGGGGUGAGUGGCAGACGGGUGAGUAACGCGUGGGAACGUACCCUUUUCUACGGAAUAACUCAGGGAAACUUGAGCUAAUACCGUAUACGCCCUUUUGGGGAAAGAUUUAUCGGAGAAGGAUCGGCCCGCGUUGGAUUAGCUAGUUGGUGGGGUAAAGGCCUACCAAGGCGACGAUCCAUAGCUGGUCUGAGAGGAUGAUCAGCCACAUUGGGACUGAGACACGGCCCAAACUCCUACGGGAGGCAGCAGUGGGGAAUAUUGGACAAUGGGCGCAAGCCUGAUCCAGCCAUGCCGCGUGAGUGAUGAAGGCCCUAGGGUUGUAAAGCUCUUUCACCGGUGAAGAUAAUGACGGUAACCGGAGAAGAAGCCCCGGCUAACUUCGUG